This 468-nucleotide ribosomal RNA is filed under the name uncultured bacterium. Its description in RNAcentral is "partial 16S ribosomal RNA". It matches the Rfam family "Bacterial small subunit ribosomal RNA", at positions 28 to 507 of the family's 1533-position model. The record is from RNAcentral.
GACGAACGCUGGCGGCGUGCUUAACACAUGCAAGUCGAACGGAAAGGCCCUGCUUUUGUGGGGUGCUCGAGUGGCGAACGGGUGAGUAACACGUGCGUAACCUGCCCUUGCCUUUGGGAUAACUUCAGGAAACUGGGGCUAAUACCGGAUAGGAGCUCCUGCUGCAUGGUGGGUGUUGGAAAGUUUCGGCGGUUGGGGAUGGACUCGCGGCUUAUCAGCUUGUUGGUGGGGUAGUGGCUUACCAAGGCUUUGACGGGUAGCCGGCCUGAGAGGGUGACCGGCAACAUGGGGACUGAGAUACGGCCCAGACUCCUACGGGAGGCAGCAGUGGGGAAUAUUGCACAAUGGGCGGAAGCCGGAUGCAGCAACGCCGCGUGCGGGAUGACGGCCUUCGGGUUGUAAACCGCUUUCGCCUGUGACGAAGCGUGAGUGAAGGUAAUGGGUAAAGAAGCACCGGCUAACUACGUG